Molecule: small nuclear RNA, 106 nt
Organism: Cynocephalus volans (Philippine flying lemur)
Lineage: Eukaryota; Metazoa; Chordata; Mammalia; Dermoptera; Cynocephalidae
Source: RefSeq, a predicted model, not a curated record
GUGGUCACUUAUGCAGCACAUCUUCUAAAAUUGGAAUGAUACAUAGAAGAUUAGCAUGGCCCCUGCGCAAGCAUGCAUGCAAAUUUGUGAAGCAUUCCAUGUUUUG